ACAAAUUUAUAGGUCGAUGGUUCAAUCUUCGGAUUCUUCCCCAAAUACCCAAUUCUGUUCUGAUGAAUUUCCAUGGCAGGUAAUGGAGUUUUUGCAGAGAUUCUCUAUGGUGAAGUGUACAAAUACUAUGCCGAAGGAGAGUGGAAGAAAGAAAUCCUCAUCGGGGAAAACCGUCGCCAUUAUCCCCACAACGAGGAAGACGAAGUACAGAGUUCAAGGUGUUUGAUAAAAAGCCUGUAACCAAGAGGAGGUUAAUAAAGUGAUGGAAAUAGCCAAAGCUGCUCAGGAAUCAUGGGCAAAGACUCCAUUGUGGAGGAGAGCUGAGGUUCUUCACAAAGCUGCUGCGAUUUUGAAAGAACACAAAGCCCCCAUUGCUGAGUGCUUGGUGAAGGAAAUUGCAAUGCCGGCCAAAGAUCCAGUGACCGAGGUUGUGAGAUCUGGAGAUCUUGUUUCAUAUUGUGCUGAAGAAGGUGUUAGGAUCUUGGGAGAGGGGAAGUUCUUGGUUGCUGAUAGUUUCCCUGGAAAUUAAAGGACCAAAUAUUGCCUUACUUCCAAGGUACAUGUUCUCCUCUUCUUCUCUGCUAUGUCUUGGACAAGACUACUUUUAGAUGAUAAUGUUCUGUCUCAACUGUUUUAUCGUUUAUAUACGUUUUAAAACAUCGAAACUUGUUAGAAUGUUAGAUGAAAAUUGAGUAAUGGUGAUAUGAAUGGUAAAUUGUGACAUGGAAUGAUGUGAUAGUCACUUGAAAUGGAACGUAAAAAAGGGGAUCCUAUCAACUUGUUCCGACCUAGGAUAAUAAGUUCACGAGCUUACUCCUACUUCACUGUCGAGAAAUGAAAGAAGACUUCCAUUUCCAAGUUUAACUCAGAUGUAGCUUGCUUCUUUUUGGGUAUGAAGCAGUGUCAAACCAAAAUACCCAAUAAAUAUUAGCUCUCCCUGAAAAGGAGGUGAUCCAGCUGCACCUUCCAAUAUGGCUACCUUGUUACGACUUCACUUUAGUCACUAGCCCCACCUUCAGCAUCCCCUCCUUAUAGUUAAGGUAAUGACUUCGGGCAUGGCCAGAUCCCAUAGUGUGACGGACAGUGUGUGAGACCUAGGAAUAAUUUCAUUGCCGUAUGGCUAACUGACAAUUACUAGCGAUUCCAGCUUCAUUUCAGCCUACAAUCCGAACUGAGGACAAGUUUUUUGGAGUGGCGACCUGAAAUGAAAAUUUGGAUCUAACACCACAUUCGGAGUCUCAAUUUCCACCCAACAUUCGACCGUAUUUCUACCCACUAUUAUAGUUUUGAAAUGCCUAUAAAAGUAUUGUAAGUUUUAAAAGAAUAAAAAUUGCUUCAACCUAGCUGGUUUUCCUAAAGGUCUUAUUAGCUGUGUCACCGGAAAAGGUUCUGAGAUUGGUGAUGUCCUCACGAUGCAUUGGGGUGUCGACUGUGUAAGCUUUAUCGGUGGGGAUACCGGCAUUGCAAUCUCAAAGAAGGCAGGCAUGAUACCUCUUCAGAUGGAACUGGGAGGCAAAGACGCCUGCAUUGUGCUCGAGGAUGCCGUUUACAUCAUAAAGGGAGGCUUUUCUUUCAGGUGAGAGCAGAUUCGUUUAUACUGGUUGAUACCAGACUCGUAUUUGCUUCCCAGUUUCCAUUCUUUGACAUCCAUGAAAAUCUAUACUAGGCUGAUUUGAUAGAAAGAAGACAACUUGUUCUUGUUCUUCUUCUUCAUCCUUACGGCAGAGUACAACUUAAGC
This is an RNA transcript of Cucurbita moschata (crookneck pumpkin), 1739 nucleotides long. It is a transcript of the gene named NADP-dependent glyceraldehyde-3-phosphate dehydrogenase-like, with no coding region annotated. The record is from RefSeq and is a predicted model, not a curated record. Lineage: Eukaryota; Viridiplantae; Streptophyta; Magnoliopsida; Cucurbitales; Cucurbitaceae. The transcript has 4 exons.